UGUGGGAGCGAGCUUGCUCGUGAUAGCGCUGUAUCAGGUCACACCAGUACUGCUGACCCACUGCUAUCGCGAGCAAGCUCGCUCCCACA
This 89-nucleotide unclassified non-coding RNA is filed under the name Pseudomonas thivervalensis. The record is from RNAcentral. Lineage: Bacteria; Pseudomonadati; Pseudomonadota; Gammaproteobacteria; Pseudomonadales; Pseudomonadaceae.